CAGAAUCGUCGGGUCUCAAACAGCGUACAGAUUUUAUUCCGUCUUUUGGAGAUACUUUGGAGAACCCUGAUGAGCAGGUUGUGACCAUGACUCUCAGCCAGCAGAGGGCCCAGCAGAAGGACAAGGCUGCCUGAAUUUAAGGAACACUCCACCAUACCUUUGACUUUGAAAAGGACACACUUGUACCAUUAUUUUAGGGGACCUUGUCCCCAACGUUUUAGCUUGGAUUUUCAGCUUUUAGACAUAUAUUGUAAUGUUCAC
Molecule: long non-coding RNA, 261 nt
Filed under: Solanum tuberosum (potato)
Lineage: Eukaryota; Viridiplantae; Streptophyta; Magnoliopsida; Solanales; Solanaceae
Description: long non-coding RNA (STUB_LNC011357)
Source: RNAcentral